UAGUUUUUAAUCUAUUAAUCCAAAGAGCCCAAGAGCUCAUACUGAAGCCAUGACCCCAACUAUUGCAUUAUGAUCUUCAUUAUGGUCCAUCUACACAAAAUAAUUCCACAAAAAUAUUUGAACAUUACGAAAAAUAAUUUCAAGUUGUGGUUGAGCUCAAGAACUAAUGAAACCAACAUCAGCAAUAAAAAAUACAAACCAAACCUAAACCACAAGACAACCACACCAAAUCACAUAGCGAGUACCUCAAGAAACAACUCAAAUCACAAGACAAUCAGAAGAACGCAUGCCCACGUUAACAAAAAAAAACAAUGCACCAAGGCAUAAACACUGCUUGUUUAGCCACUUGUUAUAUGCACUUAGUUCUUCAUUCAUCCUUAAACCCACAUAAAGAAAUAUUGAACCAUUGAUAAUUCCUUACUUACUUGCAUUAGCUACGAACUCAACCUUCACCCAACUUCUAUGACUAUAUCGCAUUUCAUGUAAAAAUUCUAUACACAUCACCCUUUUGGUCACAAUUGAAAUCCUAAAGGAUCAAUCAUUUCAAUUACUAAUAUGUAGCUAAAAAACAUGCAGAUCAGAAGCAUGAUAAGUUAGGAACAAUAACACAACCAAAGAAACACACACAAUCAUUGCAAUGGAGAGUAAACAAACAAAACUCAUAUAUAUUAAGAAUGGAACAAAUAUUAUAAUUGUAAUAUGCUUAAUAUUAUUUUUGAAAAAAUAAUUUUGAAAUUUCAUUGAGACAUUUCAACAAACACCAAACAGACACAAUCACUAAACAAAUUAAAACAUAGUUACUUAAGCUCAAGCUAACCCUGCAACUUUUACUUAGAAGUAUAAUUGCUAUCAACAAUUUUACCAAAACAAACAUCUAAAAAAAUAAUUUACAAUUAUGUCUUUCAGUGUUCCAACAAGAACAACUCAAUUCUUAAGGAAAAAGCCCAACAUCUAUUAAAUAAACCCAAAGAGCUAAAGCAAAUAGACAUACUAUCAAUAUCAAUGAACUGAUUUCGCCAAAUCAUUGGCAGAAUCAAAUUGACACCAGCAUCAAAAGAAAAUUUUGCUCUUAAAAGUAAAAAGACGACAGAAAACUUCUUGCAUUAUUCUCAACGAAGCAAUUCACUAGCUUUAGAAAUUCUCAACACUUACUUGUACGAAGGCCCUAAAAAGAUAAGCAAAGGCAAAAUUAACAGUAGUAAAAACCAUGCCAAGAGUUGGCAAGAGUUAAUUUUUUUUGUAUUUAUCGUUAAAGUUAAAAAACGUAUUUAUCGUUAAUUAAUGUCUAAAUGAAGAUUCAAUCUGACCCAUUAGAUAAUAAUCUUUACUAUUAAUUUAGUAUUGGACAUAAAUGGAGGAAUUUUGUAUUGGAUGGAACGUAACCCUUUAGAUCCUAACUCCAAAACUACAUUAAUUAGAAUUAAUCAAAUAAUGUACUUCAUUGAAACUGAUAAAACCGUAUGUGUUAAUUAAAUUGAUUUUAACCCAUUUUCUCUAAUCGAAUCAAAGCUACAAACCACCAAAAUUUCCCAAAAUAUUUUCUAUUUUAUUAGUCGCAACUCACAAUCGUCGUCCAAACAAUACAAGCCAUUUCACACUAGCAAGUUAUGAUCAAUAAACCAACAUACAUCUUCAACACAACAAGAGAAAACAAAGCGAACCAAAUUGAAAAAAGUAUAGGAGAGUAAUGGGAAAUAGCAAUAGGAUCGAAAAAAAUAAAUAUGGCAAAGUGAUGCGGAGACAAAGGCAGAGACCAAAGAACAGAAAUCGAACCAAUCUUCAAGUUAAGCUGAGGGUUUCAAAACUUACCUUCUUUUUAUGGUCUUUAGCUAGGUUGUCAAAAACUUGAAGGCAAUAAAAGGGUUAGGUCAAGGACUAGAGGCGGCGGAGGGAUGGGUAAAAUGGGAGGACAAGAAGACAAGGCGACGGAGGGAUUGGAGAGAUGGGUGAAUUUUCUGGUUAGUUUACCAGGGCAUGUGAAGAGGAGAAACGAUUGGAAAAUGUCUUACGAGAUUAGAAAGCGUAAGACAUUUCCCUAAAACAGACUUUCAUUCUAUUGUGUUUUGGAGAGGGAUUUCCUUCGGUAACACAUUUUCCACCAAACAAACAUGGGAAAACAAUAAAAAUGUUAAAAAC
Molecule: long non-coding RNA, 2136 nt
Filed under: Gossypium barbadense (sea-island cotton)
Lineage: Eukaryota; Viridiplantae; Streptophyta; Magnoliopsida; Malvales; Malvaceae
Description: long non-coding RNA (GBAR_LNC019822)
Source: RNAcentral